ACACUUGCGCCCUGAGGAGUAGUUAAAAUUCAGCUUGAGGGGCACUUAGUGUCACAGAAGCCUAGAUAAAGAAACAAGAUUUCAGGCAGGAAGAAAUAAUAAAGAGGCAGGACUUCAAGUGUCCUGUGAAACACAACAUUCGGCCUCCGGCACACACAUCCGUGGGAGACGGCUCAACUUCUUUAUAAAGUGAGGAACCAAAUUGUGAAGACAUCUGUUCUGUUAUUAAUUUCACAUACAUCUUAAGCUCCUCAAGGCCAGAAAUGAGGCUUCAUUCACGUCGAAUUAAUGAAACAUGAUUGUCCAGAUGUCCAUCCAGGAAUAAACUCCACUGCAUGGAGCCCCAUGGUGAGACGGACUGCAGGCUUGCAGCCCCACACCUAUGCACCGGCAACGUGCCCCCAGGAACACAGGACCAACUCCAAAUUUGGGAAUGAAGAUAAUGUUCAGGGGAACACAGGACCAACUCCAAAUUUGGGAAUGAAGAUAAUGUUCAGCAGCUACAUUUUCACCCCAUCCCGGGCUCCAUGUUCCUGCUGCACACACAUCAAGAAUGCUGCUAAUUUCAGCGUCUGCCUUCCAGACCCAGACGUCAAAACAACUACCUUUCAUCUCAGCAAACUACUAUGUUGUGAGCAGCCCAAUGGAGAGGCCCACAAGACAACGAACUGAAGCCUCCAGCAACAACCCUGUGAGGCUGGAACUGCCCAUAAAGGCUGGCACCCCAGCAGCCACCUUGAGAAAUGCAGUGAUGAUGCUGAGUGGCAAGGCAGAAGGCACAGGGUCCCUGCACCUGAGGAUUGCUGCUCCAAACCUGGGCCACCAGCCUGAAGAUCCCGCCAGGGAGAAAUAAAGCUCUGUUUUGCUGAAGCCACUGCUAUUUUGGGGGUCUCAUCUCUUCCAGCUGAUUCUAACCUGAAAUUGAACCUUAAUUCAAUCUGGCUGAUCCAUGAACAACCAUCACGCCUUGUGCUCUGUGUCAGAUAGGUUUCUUAAGGGAGAAUGUCACUUACUGACAGUGAUUUGUCAACACCAAAGAGGAAAAAAUAUCAGAGAAAGGUAAGAGGGAGAACAAUAGAGAGAGAAAGAGAGACAGAGACAGAGGGGGAGAGAGAGAGAGAGAGAGAGAGAGAGAGAGAGAGAGAGAGCAGACUUGGUUUAAUUUCCUCUUUUCCCUUAUUACUUUCUGACAUUUUCUGACCUUAAUACCUUUGAAACUUAGCACUUCCCUCAGAAGCCUCCACUGUAAACAAAGCCCCAAGAUUUCCCUAUAAUUUUCCCCUCCCCAUUGGCCCAUCAGUCCCCAUGGGCUUCUGCUUACCAGGAUGCCCAACUAUUCCCCUGCAAACAUCCCCCUGCCCAGUGGGCCCUAACACUCACUAGUAGCAUUGCCUUUCCCCCUCUGUUCUGCCCUCCUCCAGAGGCUCCCCAUUCUCUGGAUCUAAUGUUGUCCCAGAAGUUUACCCCUCCCUGUCCCACCCAGGCGACCUCAAAUUCUCCUAGUGGCUUCCAAUGACCCAGUUGUGCCCAGAAGCUUCUCCCUAACAGCUUAGGCUGUCACAGCCUUCCAGAGGCCUCACCCAUCUUAGUAGGGUCUAUUGCUCCUGUUCCUUAAGCCCUAGCAGUCCCUCCACCCAGUAGGCCCUGAAACUGUAAUGCAGUCCUCUCAGGCUGAGGACCUGCUCUGUGCAAAGGCCUGAGAGGGAGGUGGAGAGAAGCCAGGCAGAGGCCAGAUAUAUUAGCAGUUUUCCUAGAACAGUUGCUAAAAUAGAGCAGACAGGGGCUAUGGGAGUUGAUCAAUAGAUAUUCAUUGAACAUCUACUUUGUGCUGCGAAUGAUUUCAGUCAUGAGGGACAUAGCAGACCAUAAAACAGAACAGGGGAAGCCUUCUUUAGAAGUGGUCCUGGUAUAUUUCUGUCAAUUGACAUAUAUUCACAAAUUCACGCAUCCACUUAAUACGUAUUUAUUGAGCUCCUUCUGUAUACGAGGCACUGUUCUUGUUGCUGAAAAUACAAAACUGAACAAAACAGAAAAGCUCCUGCCCUUGGGAGCUUAUGUUCUAGUAAGGAAAUGAAAUAAACAACAAACAGCGAGUGCCUUCAGUCUUAUGUUCCCAGAAGAAGAUGCUGAGACAAGGGUUGAAGUGCAGGUAAUUUAUUAAGAAAGAGCUCCCAGGAGAUAUCCAUAAGGGCAUAGGGAAACAGGGCAAGAGAGGGGGAAGAAGCCCAGCAAAGGUGCAGCUUCCCAAAGUCCCAACCUCUGCCUGAUCCUGUGGAGAGCUCUGGGGUAUAAAUUACAUCUCAGGGUCUGUCUGUCUUUGAAGCAGGGGUGUCAGGCUUUUAUACUCCCACAUCCAUUGGCUACAGGCUGGAGGGGUGAGGGGGAGUAAAUUUUGGGUACUUUUUCUCCUCUCUGCAUGCCAUGGGGACAAAGCAGCUGCAGAGGUUCAUGGGCCAGCACAGGAAGGAAGUUCCAGGUGUGAACCUUUUAGAAGUAAAAUACGUAGGGCCAGGUGUGGUGGCUCACGGCUGUAACCCAGCAUUUUGGGAGGCCGAGGGUGGUGGAUCACCUGAGGUCAGGAAUUCAAGACCAGCCUGGCCAACAUAGUGAAACUCCAUCUCUACUAAAAAUAUAAAAAUUAACCAGGUGUUGUGGUGCAUGCCUAUAAUCCCAGCUACUUGGGAGGCUGAGGCAGGAGAAUAACUUGAACCCGGAAGGCAGAGGUUGUAGCGAACUGAGAUCAUUCCACUGCACUCCAGCCUGGGCAACAAGAGAGAAACUCUGUCCCAAAAAAGGAGAAGGAGAAGGAGAAAGAGAAGGAGGAGUAGGGGAAAAUGUGUGUAGAGGCUGGGGGUGAGCACACAGAAUAAGUAAAAGGGACCUGAGGGAUGCAUCCAUGCAAUAGAUUAUCAUAAUAUGAUGACAGGUGUGAGAAGCAUUGAGGAUUUCACCACUCCUGACCCCUCCUCCAUGCACAGGGGCAUCCGGAGGAUCUCCAUGUCUCUAUUCCCCUUACCUUGCUCUGCCCCAAGGGAGGUGACUUGGCUGAUUGAUAAGGAUUCUAGGAGGAAUAAACUGAAUGUGAGCAGCUCUGUCCUGUCCUCAUUCCUUGUCUUAUUUUGGUCUCCUUAAAGACCUAGGGUACAGAAGGAAGGGCAGUGACUGGGGGAUUCCUUAGGAAACCAGCAUUCUGAAAAAUAAUG
RNAcentral lists this long non-coding RNA (3203 nucleotides) under Homo sapiens (human). RNAcentral's name for it is "HSALNT0386244". Lineage: Eukaryota; Metazoa; Chordata; Mammalia; Primates; Hominidae. The record is from RNAcentral.